CUACGGGAGGCAGCAGUAGGGAAUCUUCGGCAAUGGACGAAAGUCUGGCCGAGCAACGCCGCGUGAGUGAAGAAGGUUUUCGGAUCGUAAAACUCUGUUGUUAGAGAAGAACGCUGCAUAGAGUGGAAAAUUAUGCAAGUGACGGUAUCUAACCAGAAAGGGACGGCUAACUACGUGCCAGCAGCCGCGGUAAU
This 194-nucleotide ribosomal RNA is filed under the name uncultured bacterium. RNAcentral's name for it is "partial 16S ribosomal RNA". It matches the Rfam family "Bacterial small subunit ribosomal RNA", at positions 339 to 524 of the family's 1533-position model. The record is from RNAcentral.